CAGGAAUUGAACCCAGGACCUUCUUGCUGCAAGGCAACAGUGCUACCAACUGCGCUUGUGUUUGAUCUACUAUGUGAAUUCUUAGAGCUAGAUCACAAAUGGAGGACGUUGAAGCGGAUGACAAGAGCCAGAUGAGGAGCUCAGUGACGUCUUUACCAGAGCAACGAUCAGAAGCAGGACCCUCCCCAGAGCCACAGUGACCUCAGUGAUGAGGUCACAGACGACAUCAUGAACAUCACAACAGAUCAAAGAAGUUCUGAGGCUUUAACUGCUUGAAUCUCAACACAUCAGUUAGAAUCCAAACACUUCAGAUAUCUGGUGACGACAGGGAUGAGGAAAGUUUUCGACCAUUUAUUUCCUGGACACGACUCGGACCAACGAUCAGAAGCAGGACCCUCCCCAGAGUCACAGUGACCUCAGUGAUGAGGUCACAGACGACAUCAUGAACAUCACAACAGAUCAAAGAAGUUCUGAGGCUUUAACUGCUUGAAUCUCAACACAUCAGUUAGAAUCCCAACACUUCAGUGAGUUUCAGAUUUUGUGUCUAGUAAGGAUUUUUGUGUUUCCAAGAUGCCAUACCCUUUAAUUUUGCCACUUGGUUUUGGACUAGGAUAUCUGGUGACGACAGGGAUGAGGAAAGUUUUCGACCAUUUAUUUCCUGGACACGACUCGGACGUAAGUACCUCCCAGGAUAUUGAGAGAGAUUUGUUUUGGGACGGGCUUCCAACGGUUCCCAGAGAUAAAACUGACCCGGCUGGGGAAGUUUCUUCUCUCGAAAGUCAGAGUCGUUUCUCAAGCUCCCCGGAUGUUGACAGAGAUUUGAUUUGGGACGGGCUUCCAACGGUUCCCAGGGAUAAAGCUAACCCGGCUGGGGAAGUUUCUUCUCUCGAAAGUCCAAGUCAUUUCUCAAGCUCCCAGGAUGUUGACAGAGAUUUGUUUUGGGACGGGCUUCCAACGGUUCCCAGAGUUCAAGCUGACCCGGCUGGGGAAGUUUCUUCUGGGGCAGAUCUCAAAGCUCAGGCUUUGAGAUCCACUAUUUCAUCUCCGGUGUGUUCAGAGAAAACAUCGAGAAAUGGCGCAUCCUCCAGGGUCUCUGAAUGUAAAUGUUCCUCUGACGGAGCGUCAGACUUAACACACAGGAAGCAGCAGACGAGCAGCAGAAAGACUGUUAACAAAGACAAAACUGCCCCAGACCAAGUACGUAAUUCUGACAAUGAGGAAAAACUUUGGGACCAGAUUGUGAACUGUUCCCAAAAGAAAAACUACCCCGAAUUGGAUAGCUCACUGUUAGAAAGAGAGGAAAAACUUUGGGACCAGAUUUUACUGAGUUCCCAAAAGAAAAAACUACCCUGAAUUGGAUAGCUCACUGUUAGAAAGAGAGGAAAA
Molecule: long non-coding RNA, 1386 nt
Organism: Xiphophorus maculatus (southern platyfish)
Lineage: Eukaryota; Metazoa; Chordata; Actinopteri; Cyprinodontiformes; Poeciliidae
Exons: 5
Source: RefSeq, a predicted model, not a curated record